AUGCCAUCGUGGUGGAAGCGCUCCAAGACCGCCUUCCGCCGCUCCGCCACCACCGCCGCCUCCUCCGCCCCGGCCUCCCCCGCGCGGGCGUCCACCUCGCGCUCACAGACGCGACGCGCGGGGUCCGAAGACGCCGGGGACCUCCUCCUCGCGCGGCCACACCGCCAGCCGCGCCAGCUCACGCGACAGCGGAAGCUGCGCCACGUCUACGAUAUCGACGCGCUGCUCGCCGACCUCGGCAUCGACGUCGCGUCCUCCUCCUCGCCGCCGCACGCCAGGGGGCGCGCCUCCGCAUCCGAUGCCGUCGGCCUCGGUCCCCCGAUCUCGAGGUCCUCCAACGCCGCGGACGGGGUGGUAGCUCCGCCUCCGAGGUCCGCGUCGUCCCCCGUGUUGCACCCGCUGCCGUUGCCGUCACCGUCACCGAAGCCCCCCGCAGAGCUGGAGACGACGGACUCGGCGGGGGUCGCGGAAGGCGGGAACGAGAGGGCGUCGUUGCAAAUACCGAGGGUGACAGGUCAGACUGUGCAAAAGUUCCCUGAACAUAAUGAUUUCUGCUCAAAUGGUACAAAGCGGUCUACCUCUAGUCACCACCGAAAAGCACUCCGUGACAAGUUCCAGGAUAAGAGUUCAGCUGAAACAGGGAACUUCCGUUUGAACAUUCCAACUAGAAGUGCUCCAACCAGUGGAUUUUCCAGUCCCGUAGGCAGCCCUCCAAGAUUGAGCAAUGCUGACGUCUCAUCUACUGUGGCAUCUUCUCAUGCUCCUCAAGCAUGGUCAGCUCCAUCGAUCCACACUAUUGAUUUUCUGGGAGCUUUAUCUCCUCGGACUUCGCCUGAAAAACUUACAGGGGCUUCAGAGCCAUCUCCUUACUCUAGUACAUUCAGAAGUCCUAUUCUUAUGCCAAGGAAUACCAGUGCCCCUCCAUCGCCACUCCCAAAGUUAUUCCCAGAAAACCAAAUUUCACGUACUGAAGUCAAUGGAAGUGCUAGUUUGCAUCCAUUACCACUUCCUCCUAGUGCUAUAAGCCCAAUGCAAACAUCUUUCAGCAACCAGCCUGCUCCAAAAGUUGAAAUGCCUUCGGUGUCUUGUCAGUGGCAAAAAGGAAAACUUCUAGGUAGUGGUACAUUUGGCUGUGUAUAUGAAGCUACCAAUAGGAACACUGGAGCUCUUUGUGCAAUGAAAGAGGUCAACAUAAUUCCUGAUGAUGCUAAAUCUGCCGAGUCGUUGAAUCAACUGGAGCAGGAAAUAAAGUUCCUAAGUCAAUUUAAACAUGAAAACAUAGUUCAGUAUUAUGGCAGUGACACUAUUGAAGAUCGUUUCUACAUUUACCUGGAAUAUGUACAUCCGGGUUCGAUUAAUAAGUAUGUCAAACAACAUUAUGGAGCAAUAACAGAAUCAGUUGUCCGUAACUUCACCCGACAUAUUCUUAGAGGCCUAGCUUUUUUGCAUGGCCAAAAGAUUAUGCAUAGGGAUAUCAAAGGAGCAAAUCUGCUAGUUGAUAUCAAUGGUGUAGUGAAAUUGGCCGAUUUUGGAAUGGCCAAGCAUUUAAGUACUGCAGCCCCAAAUCUUUCAUUGAAGGGAACACCAUACUGGAUGGCCCCAGAGAUGGUUCAGGCUACACUAGCUAAAGAUGUAGGAUAUGAUCUCGCUGUUGAUAUCUGGAGUCUUGGUUGCACCAUCAUUGAGAUGUUCGAUGGAAAACCUCCUUGGAGUGAUCUUGAAGGGCCUGCUGCAAUGUUUAAGGUUUUGCAUAAAGACCCACCAAUUCCUGAGAAUUUAUCCCUAGAGGGAAAAGAUUUUCUGCAAUGCUGUUUCAAGAGGAAUCCAGCAGAGAGGCCGACCGCAAGUGAGUUGUUGGACCAUCCAUUUAUCCGGAAUUCAAGUCACUACAGCAAACAUGGUUCCAUACAUGCGUUUGCGGGGAUUAAAGUCCAUGAUAACGGAUACGGUUUCAGGGACAAAACAUCCUCCAAGAGUGAACCAUAUGUGAAAGGAAGAAAUACUAUUGGUGAACCAAACAAUUCUAGGCCAUUCGAAUCGUCAGCCUUUCGACUGACGCCACUAACAAUCCAGGAAGUCGCACCUAAUUUCGCCCCUCAACCGUUUGGUUUAGCGUCCAAUCCUGGUUCCUUUGCCAUCUCAACGAACCCCAUGCAUUUUCCGAUGGCGAACCCUCAGCCUAGCCCACUGCCAAGGCCCAAUGGAAAGGAGGUUCUCUUCUAA
This 2223-nucleotide ribosomal RNA is filed under the name Triticum aestivum (bread wheat). Its description in RNAcentral is "partial small subunit ribosomal RNA". The record is from RNAcentral. Lineage: Eukaryota; Viridiplantae; Streptophyta; Magnoliopsida; Poales; Poaceae.